Molecule: transfer RNA, 87 nt
Filed under: Candidatus Poribacteria bacterium
Lineage: Bacteria; Candidatus Poribacteria
Description: tRNA-Leu
Rfam family: tRNA
About the family: Transfer RNA (tRNA) molecules are approximately 80 nucleotides in length. Their secondary structure includes four short double-helical elements and three loops (D, anti-codon, and T loops).
Source: RNAcentral
GCCGGGAUGUUGGAAUUUGGUAGACAAGCUAGAUUCAGGAUCUAGUGGGCGUUUUUGCCCGUAGGGGUUCGAGUCCCCUUCCCGGCA